GACGAACGCUGGCGGCGUGCUUAACACAUGCAAGUCGAACAGAAAGGCCUCUUUCGGGGGGUACUCGAGUGGCGAACGGGUGAGUAACACGUGAGUAACCUGCCCUUGACUUUGGGAUAACUUCAGGAAACUGGGGCUAAUACCGGAUAGGAGCUCCUGCUGCAUGGUGGGGGUUGGAAAGUUUCGGCGGUUGGGGAUGGACUCGCGGCUUAUCAGCUUGUUGGUGGGGUAGUGGCUUACCAAGGCUUUGACGGGUAGCCGGCCUGAGAGGGUGACCGGCCACAUUGGGACUGAGAUACGGCCCAGACUCCUACGGGAGGCAGCAGGGGGGAAUAUUGCACAAGGGGUGGAAGCCUGAUGCAGCAACGCCGUGUGCGGGAGGACGGCCUUCGGGUUGUAAACCGCUUUCGCUCAUGACGAAGCUUUGUGUGACGGUAGUGGGUAAAGAAGCACCGGCUAACUACGUG
This 467-nucleotide ribosomal RNA is filed under the name uncultured bacterium. RNAcentral describes it as "partial 16S ribosomal RNA". It matches the Rfam family "Bacterial small subunit ribosomal RNA", at positions 28 to 507 of the family's 1533-position model. The record is from RNAcentral.